ACCUCGUCGAUAAGCCUUGUCAAGUUGAUAUCCGCGGUUCCACCGGGCAGCGUCACCCUCGUGGCCAUCUCCUUCCACUCCGCCGCGCGACGCCGCAUCUCCCGCCCUUUCUCCCCCUCCAUGGCCUCCCGUAUCGUGGCGGCCACGUCGCUCCGCUCCACCUCGCCGCCGAUCUCCAUCCCGACGCCCCACUCCGUGCGCUUGUACCGGCAGUUCGUCUGCUGCUCCGCGAAGAACGGCCAGCUCAGCAUCGGCACGCCCGCGGCGAGGCUCUCCAGCGUCGAGUUCCACCCGGAGUGCGUCAGGAACACACCCACCGCGGGGUGCUCGAUCACCUGCUCCUGCGGGCACCAUGUCCAUGCCGCGGCCCUCCACGGCGGCGAGGAACUCCGGCGGCAGCACGGCGGCGUCGCCCUUGACGAGGUCGGGGCGCACGUUCCAGAGGAAUGGGUAGCCGCUGUGGGCGAGGCCCCAGGCGAACUCCAGGAGCUGCUCGUUCGUCAUCACGGCGAUGCUGCCGUAGUUGACGUACACGACGGAGCGCGGCGGCCGGCCGUCGAGCCACUCGAGGAGGCCGCCCUGCUCCUUCCAGAGGUUCGAGCCGAUGGCUGUGUCCAGCGGGCUGCCCUUGGGGACGACGUGGCGAACGUGGAGGUGGAGCGGCCCGACGGUGUAGACCGGUGGGAGGAUGGCGCGCAUGGCGUCCAGCGCCGGCCGCUCGAGGUCGUCGAAGGUGUUGAGGAUGACGGCGUCGGGGAGGGUGAGCCGCUCGGCCUCGCGCAUGAUGAAGUUGAGCAUGAUGUCGCCGCGGUCCGUGGUGCGGAUGAAGCUGGGGAAGUCGCGCAGCUGGACGCCGUCGCACAUGCCGCGCGCGCCGUCCACCACCGUGUCGAGGUACCCGUCGGCGAGCUGCGCCGCGUCCUUGAGCGGCACGAGGCCGCGCUCCACGAGCUGCCGUGGCUGUACCCCACGAAGCCGCAGGCGCUCGGCGUGCACAGCGCGGUGCACGGCACGCCGAUCCGCCUCGCCGCGUCGUACGCGAACGACAUGAUGGCGUCCGCCACGACGCACGUGACCGGCGGCACACCGGAGGUCGGGUCAUUGAGCUCGGCGAGGAGGGCGACGACGUGGGGGAGGCAGGUGGUCAUGGUGGAGCGGCAGAGCGCGGGGAUGUCCUGGGUGGCGUCGGCGUCGGACGGCGGGAGGCCGUCGGGGAUGGCGGCGAAGCGGAACCCCGGCACGCCGCCGUCGAGCGCGGCGGCGCCCCGGGAGGCGAGCAUGCGGCGGUGGUUGAACUCGGUGUUGACGAAGGUGACGUGGAAGCCACGCGCGUGGAGCAGCUUGGCCAGCUUCAUCAUCGGCGUGAUGUGGCCCUGCGCCGGGUACGGGAUCAUCACGGCGUGGCGCUGUCGCCUCGCCAUCGUUGCGUCCUGCUUCUCCGGCGGCAUUACGGUGUCACGCACUGUUCUGGCUCUGCUUGGAAUGCAUGCUACAUGUCCGUCACGCGAGACACGCGGGAGAGCCAUCGGUUUCUCCUGCAAGAGCGUCAUCGCAUCAAGCCUUUAA
This 1566-nucleotide long non-coding RNA is filed under the name Oryza sativa Indica Group (long-grained rice). RNAcentral's name for it is "lncRNA OsMH63_04G008540". The record is from RNAcentral. Lineage: Eukaryota; Viridiplantae; Streptophyta; Magnoliopsida; Poales; Poaceae.